RNAcentral lists this ribosomal RNA (496 nucleotides) under uncultured bacterium. Its description in RNAcentral is "partial 16S ribosomal RNA". It matches the Rfam family "Bacterial small subunit ribosomal RNA", at positions 29 to 507 of the family's 1533-position model. The record is from RNAcentral.
AUGCACGCUGGCGGCGUGCCUAAUACCUGCAAGUCGCGCGAACAGACGAGGAGCUUGCUCCUCUGACGUUAGCGGCGGACGGGUGAGUAGCACGUGGAUAACCUACCUAUAAGACUGGGAUAACUUCGGGAAACCGGAGCUAAUACCGGAUAAUAUAUUGAACCGCAUGGUUCAAUAGUGAAAGACGGUUUUGCUGUCACUUAUAGAUGGAUCCGCGCCGCAUUAGCUAGUUGGUAAGGUAACGGCUUACCAAGGCAACGAUGCGUAGCCGACCUGAGGGGGUGAUCGGCCACACUGGAACUGAGACACGGUCCAGACUCCUACGGGAGGCAGCAGUAGGGAAUCUUCCGCAAUGGGCGAAAGCCUGACGGAGCAACGCCGCGUGAGUGAUGAAGGUCUUCGGAUCGUAAAACUCUGUUAUUAGGGAAGAACAAAUGUGUAAGUAACUAUGCACGUCUUGACGGUACCUAAUCAGAAAGCCACGGCUAACUACGUG